RNAcentral lists this ribosomal RNA (492 nucleotides) under uncultured bacterium. RNAcentral's name for it is "partial 16S ribosomal RNA". It matches the Rfam family "Bacterial small subunit ribosomal RNA", at positions 29 to 507 of the family's 1533-position model. The record is from RNAcentral.
AUUGAACGCUGGCGGCAUGCCUUACACAUGCAAGUCGAACGGCAGCACGGUAACUUCUUGCUGUUGGGGAGUGCCGGACGGGGGAGGAUUACAUAGGCACCGGUAUCUACUUGGGCGUUAGGGCGACCGUAGGGGGACUAAUACUGCUACCGAACAACGGCUGAGAGUGAGGGCACGUGAGCUUCCGCGCUUGAGGGAUGGCCGGUGCCGAUGUCGGAUUAGCUAGUUGGCGGGGUAAAGGCCUACCAAGGCGACGAUCUGUAGCUGGUCUGAGAGGACGACCAGCCACACUGGGACUGAGACACGGCCCAGACUCCUACGGGAGGCAGCAGUGGGGAAUAUUGGACAAUGGGCGAAAGCCUGAUCCAGCAAUGCCGCGUGUGUGAAGAAGGCCUUCGGGUUGUAAAGCACUUUUGUCCGGAAAGAAAACCUGGGCCCUAAUACGGUCGGGGGAUGACGGUACCCGAAGAAUAAGCACCGGCUAACUACGUG